AUGGUGGUUAAUGAUGUACACUUUUUUCCCCGUCUUAUCGACAAUGGUGAGAGAACAUUAUAACUAAGCCAGUUGUGUCUGAAACCACAU
Nerophis lumbriciformis (worm pipefish) is the source of this 90-nucleotide non-coding RNA. The record is from RefSeq and is a predicted model, not a curated record. NCBI's taxonomy places the organism in Eukaryota, Metazoa, Chordata, Actinopteri, Syngnathiformes, Syngnathidae.